AACGCACAUGGCGCCCCCCGGUAUCCCGGGGGGCAUGCCUGUCCGAGCGUCGUUUCAACCCUCGGGCUCUUAGUAGCCCGGCGUUGGGGACCUACGCGCCGACGUAGGCCCCGAAAAGCAGUGGCGGACCCGUGCCGGCCCCCCCUUUGCGUAGUAGCAUUAGCCUCGCAUCGGAAGCCCGCGGGAUCUCCGGCCUCUAAACCCCACUAAAGCCCGCUCCGGCGGCACCAAGGUUGACCUCGGAUCAGGUAGGAAUACCCGCUGAACUUAA
RNAcentral lists this unclassified non-coding RNA (271 nucleotides) under uncultured fungus. RNAcentral describes it as "sequence contains ITS2". Lineage: Eukaryota; Fungi. The record is from RNAcentral.